Molecule: ribosomal RNA, 227 nt
Filed under: uncultured bacterium
Lineage: Bacteria
Description: partial 16S ribosomal RNA
Rfam family: Bacterial small subunit ribosomal RNA
Source: RNAcentral
GAUCAUGGCUCAGGACGAACGCUGGCGGCGUGCCUAAUACAUGCAAGUAGAACGCACAGUUUAUACCGUAGCUUGCUACACCAUAGACUGUGAGUUGCGAACGGGUGAGUAACGCGUAGGUAACCUGCCUGGUAGCGGGGGAUAACUAUUGGAAACGAUAGCUAAUACCGCAUAAUAUUAAUUAUUGCAUGAUAAUUGAUUGAAAGAUGCAACUGCAUCACUACCAG